RNAcentral lists this ribosomal RNA (291 nucleotides) under Haemophilus haemolyticus. RNAcentral's name for it is "partial 16S ribosomal RNA". It matches the Rfam family "Bacterial small subunit ribosomal RNA", at positions 1 to 286 of the family's 1533-position model. Lineage: Bacteria; Pseudomonadati; Pseudomonadota; Gammaproteobacteria; Pasteurellales; Pasteurellaceae. The record is from RNAcentral.
UUGAAUUGAAGAGUUUGAUCAUGGCUCAGAUUGAACGCUGGCGGCAGGCUUAACACAUGCAAGUCGAACGGUAGCAGGAGAAAGCUUGCUUUCUUGCUGACGAGUGGCGGACGGGUGAGUAAUGCUUGGGAAUCUGGCUUAUGGAGGGGGAUAACUACGGGAAACUGUAGCUAAUACCGCGUAGUAUCGUAAGAUGAAAGUGCGGGACCGCAAGGCCGCAUGCCAUGGGAUGAGCCCAAGUGGGAUUAGGUAGUUGGUGGGGUAAAGGCCUACCAAGCCUGCGAUCUCUAG